GGCAGCUGCGUCCGCCUCUCCCUCCCUCCCUCCCUGACGAGCGGCGGCGGCGGCGGCGUCGCCCGCUCCUUUCCUUCCCUCUUCGCCGCCGCCGCCGCCGCCGCCUAUUCUCCUUCUUCCUCCCUCCUCCCUCACGGGCCACCGACCUCCUUCGCGCCGCUGCUCUUCGCCGCUCUGGCCGAGGGGCGGGCGAGGAGGAGGAGGAGCGCGAGGCCGCGGCGGCUGCGCGGAACGGGCGAGCGGGAGCGGGCGAAGGCGGCGAGAGGCGGCGGGUGGGUGGGUCGCUGGUUUCCCUCACUGGCCGGCCGGCUCGCUCUUUUCCCUCUCAGGGCGCCGGGACUACGGCUCCCGGCAGGCCCCGCGCGGCGCAAGCCGACGCGGCUUCCGGUCCCUGAGCGGAAGCGGAGGAGGAAGGAAGGAAGCGCAGCCGGGGCUUUCGGCGGGGAGGGGCGGGGCGAGAGGAGGGCGCUCGCGUCUCUCCAAGGCAACGGAGCACGCCAAUGGGAGGCGGCGGGGGGCGGGGCUUGGAGGGGAAAGGCGGAAGGUGACGGGCAGGCCCGGAGAGAGAGAGAGAGAGGAGAGGAGGAGGCCGGUGCCGCCUCCGGGCCUCUGCCGAUUAAACAUGCACCUGAAGUUGGAGGAGCUUGUUUUGAUGGCCUCAUCCUGGUUUGCAGUGCAGUGCCGCAAUUCUUCCAGACCUUCAGAAAUGGAUGGGUCAGAAAGGGGAGUAACAUGAUGGUAAGAAUCCUUAAGAAUAUUAAGCCUCUCACGGGAAUGCCUUCUACGUCACAUGCUACGGUUUAUUUCUGUAGAGCUUUUUGGCCCAAAGUCCCCCAAUGUGGUGAACAACAUUGUACAGUGGUACCUUGGUUUAUGAACUUAAUCCGUUCCAGAAGUCCGUUCUUAAACCAAAGCGUUUUUAAACCAAGGCGUGCUUUCCCAUAGCAGCGGGGGACUCAAUUUACAAAUGGAACACACUCGACAGGAAGCGGAACAUGUUCUCCUUCCAAGGCAAAGUUCACAAACACCUACUUUUUUACAGCGUUUUUAAUCCAAGUUGUUUAAAAACUAAGCUGUUCUUAAACCAAGGUACCACUGUAAUGCAAAGCAAAGUUGAAAUAAAAAUACAAGAAACAUGGUAAAUCAAUACUAUAAAGUGACACAAACACUAAAUACCCAUCAGCCACAUCAUGAACUGUACAGUGGUACCUCGGGUUAAGUACUUAAUUCAUUCCGGAGGUCCAUUCUUAACCUGAAACUGUUCUUAACCUGAAGCACCACUUUAGCUAAUGGGGCCUCCUGCUGCCGUGCCACCGGAGCCCAAUUUCUGUUCUCAUCCUGAAGCAAAGUUCUUAACCCGAGGUACUAUUUCUGGGUUAGCGGAGUCAGUAACCUGAAGCGUAUGUAACCUGAAGCAUUUGUAAUCCGAGGUACCACUGUAUUGAGCUGGACACAGCUUCCCAGCAUUCCCCUUCUCACUUAGAAGCCACCUUAAUUCGCAUUUCCACCCUCACCCUGGCCAAGUUUUAUUAUGUCAACUAUUAUUAAGCCUAUCCUCAAUCAGUCGCCCACGGGACGUGCCCUCCCUCUCGUCACGUCCUGAAAGAGAGACCCAAAGGCAGGAUACCCUUUUCUUUCACUCCCUUUUGAGCCCCUCAUUCAUUAUAAAUCAUAUCAAAAUAAUGUAUUCAAGCUGCAGCGUACGUCCAGAAUGAACAGACACACUGCAAAGGAGUAGUAGAGAGCAAAAUCUACUGCCCCGUGGUGGUUCUUCACUUUCUCUUUUUAUUACUGCUGCUUCUGUUUUCAAUUCUACAGCAGUUUCUGAGUGUUAGUGCUGUACCGCAGUGUUCCCCAACCUUGGGCCUCCAGCUGUUUUUGGACUACAACUCCCAUCAUCCUUGACCACUGGUCUUGCUAGCGAGGGAUGAUGGGAGUUGUAGUCCAAAAACAGCUGGAGGCCCAAGGUUGGGGAACACUGCUGUACCGGAGCAGGGAGAGGCAUAGUUCCUGCUGGGCGUGAACUGUGGUGCAGUACAGGCAGGGCAGCAAGGCUCAUGUGCCUUCCCAAUGCUGAGCAUCACUUUCAGUGAUUGAGAAGCCCAGGAAGCUCAGUGUGGGGUGGGUGGGGUGGCGGCGGCGCAGGCCAAUCUGAUGCGCCUGCCAUUGUGCCUGCACCGUGCUGAACUCUCCUCCCCACCUCUCAGGAACUUGCUGCAAUGGCCAUAGUUGGGAAGGCAGGUGAGUCAUUCUGCCCACUACCAGACCCUGCCCAGAGGUCUCCCUAACGGUCUUGGCAUGCAUUCGUAUAGCCCAUCGCUAUGCAUGUUUACUCAGAAAUGAGUUCAAGGGAAGUUAGGGCCAAGUAAGCAGGUUUCAGAGUUUGGGCAGAUUCGUAUGGGAGGAUACAGUCCUUCAGAUAGCCUGGGAUGAGCAAAUUAGAGCUUUAGGUUGUAGACAUAGUAAUGGUCAACACUCUGCUGCAAUUAGAAUACCUCUAAUGUGAGUGUUUUGUUGUGGAUUUGAGUUCCGGAUUAUAUAUGUUACAAUGACUUAUUUAAUAAUGAUAAUAAAUUUUAUUUAUAUCCCGCCCUCCCCAGCCGAAGCCGGGCUCAGGGCGGCUAACAACAAUAAAGCAGUACAAAAGUACAGCAUAAACAACACUCUAAAAUCAUUCAUUAUAAAAUUAAUUAAAUUUAAUUAAUUAAUUAGUUAAGCAAGACUUAUUUAGCUAAGAAACAUAUAAACUCCAUUCAGUGCUAAUGAACAUUCUUCAUUUUUAAUUUCAUCAGCAUUGAGUGAAGUUGGCAGGAAUCUUAAUUUGAAACAGGUUUUCUUAUUUUAAAAAGUUACAACAACCAAACAAACUAAAAUACAAUCUAAAAAUAACAAUAAUGGGAACAAAACAGUAACCAUAUUAUAUACGCCAGCAAACAGCAGCAAUAUAGGAACAUAUUGUUUUGAGGCCUCCACCAGAAAUGCCUGCCAGAAUAUAACUUGUAAUAAUAUACUUAAAAGUGAGGAAAGAAGGGGCCAGAUGAAGCACUCUUGGGAGCCACAUUCUUAUUUUUCUGCCACAUUUCAGCAUUUUUGAAAAGUUAUGCACACUAUUACAAUCUAAAUGAGUGCAGGCAAUGUACCAUGCUUAUAUACUUCGUGCUGAGUAUUAGUUGCUGCUUUGUUAUGCAUAAUUAAUAAAUGCUAAUCGGUAGCAUUUAAAUUGUUUUCAGAAUUUGUAGAAAUGCGACUUACCUUGUAUCUUAAUCUUGUACCUUUCCCUUGCUGUUCCUCUCCAUUCUGUCCUCACAACAACACUCCCGAGAAAGGUUAGGCUGAGACACGGUGAAGGGUCCAAGCUCAUUCAGUGAGCUUCAUAGCUGAGGAUAGAUUUGAACUCUGCUCUUCAAGGGCCUAGACUACCACACCACCCACUGUGUCACAGGAGCUCUUAGUGCUUGGAAAACCUUUAAAUUUUGUAGUAUAUUAAAGGCUAAGGCUGCAGUUCUAACCACUUUUUGCAGGGAGUAAGCUUCACGGAAUUCAACUGAACUUUCCUCCAAGUAACAGUGCUUAAGAUCACAUUGUAAUGUUUUUAUUUUUUAUGAGCACGAGGUUUGUAUAUUGCCCUUCAUACAGAUAUAUGCUAUUGCAGUGAUUCCAAAACUCUGAGUUCAAUUUGGUUAGUAUAGAGGGAGCCUGACAAAUGUGGUUUCUUGUGAAUACAGACAAGCACUUGGCUUGAGUAUGUAUAUGAAAAAUUGUAUACUAUAUUCUUUAACUUCUAACCUUGCUUCUUUUCCCCUCCUGGAAAUAUAAAAGUUGUUUCAGCUUGUCCCUGUAACCUGAGAGAUGAGGAUAGGGUACCUGCCAUUAACCUCAUUUGCUAAUGUGUUGACAUUAGUCUAAAGACUGAGAAAGAAAAGCCUUUGAAUGCUGUGGUCAGCAGUUGGCAGCUUCUUGGGUCUGUGUAACACCUUGCCAUUUAAAAAGCAGUAGAAGGUUGUCCAGGCACUGGGGCUUUUUGAAAAAGGGGUAAGAUGCCCACGAGUAAAGCAAGUAUUCAGUGGUAAAAUUAAUUUAUUUUCAGGAAUAACUCUCCCCAUUCUACUGUGUAUUCUAUAAAAAGGUUAGCUUGCUUAAAGCUUGAAUGUUUGGGUUGGUUUCCAGGCUUUGAUAUGCCUGUCCUCUUUAUGCUGGGAUAGUUCAGCCUGUAGCGCCUGAGACUCAUUUUCCGGUCUUGGGUCGGAGCCCUGAAUUGGGCAAAAGAUUUCUGCAUUGCAGGCGGUUGGGUUAAAUUACCAUGGUGGAUAAAGUAUGAAUUCUAUGAUUCUAAUAUGUCUUGUUUGAUUGGUUAAAAUAUUGAUAAGGUCCCCCUUUGAGCUGCAGAGGUAUUUUUCAUUUUACUGGCAGAUGCAUAAUAGAAAUUCAGGAGGAAAUGCUUCUGGGGUAAGGCUCCACCUGCUGAAUUCCUGCCUGUUGUGCGCAUCUGGGAGACGCUGGAGCUGCGUGUUUUGUUAAGCUGCAGUUUGAAACCAGGCGCGCCUGGAACUAGAAAACAUGCUCGUGAGAAUGCAGCCCAGGACGCGUAGUAACAGCAUUGACGGCUCCUGCCUUGAUUUGCAAUUGUGGCGGCUACUGCGCAGGCGCCCGCGGGAAACGCUUGGGUUAAGGCUGGGCGCGCAUGGCCCCGGUUGUGCGCAUGCGUCUCCUUCGAGCUUCCCCCUCCCACCUCCUGCUGCCUCGGAAGAGCGAAUAUGGGAGGGUCGCGCGUUGGCGCAUGAGCAGCAGCGACGCCCAGUGCUCACGUGGUAACAAGAUGGCGAGUAGUGGGUGUGGGGGGAAAAGAGGCUGCGGUGCGCAGGCGCAGACGGCGGCGACCGCCCUCUAUCGGCUGCGGCGGCCGCUGCGCUCUGUCAGCAACUCGAGGAUUUCGCCGAGUGUUUGGCGCGCGCGCGCGCUCGAGAGAGAGAGGAGAGAGGCUUGCUGCGACGGCCCGCUCCUACGCGCAUGCGUGCGCCGCGGCUGAGGCGCGGGCUGGGAGGGAAAUAUCUGGGCCGGGCGCGCGCGCGCCGUCUCGGGCGAGCUCGUAUUGUCCCGGCCGGGAGUCCAUGGAGAGUCCCGGACCGCCCUGAGGCGCUGAGGAGGAGGAGGCGGCGGCUGCUGCUGUUCCUGAGGCGGAGCGGCCUGCC
Molecule: long non-coding RNA, 5189 nt
Organism: Podarcis muralis (Common wall lizard)
Lineage: Eukaryota; Metazoa; Chordata; Lepidosauria; Squamata; Lacertidae
Source: Ensembl